RNAcentral lists this ribosomal RNA (425 nucleotides) under uncultured bacterium. RNAcentral's name for it is "partial 16S ribosomal RNA". It matches the Rfam family "Bacterial small subunit ribosomal RNA", at positions 354 to 796 of the family's 1533-position model. The record is from RNAcentral.
GUUAGGAAUAUUGGACAAUGGGCGAAAGCCUGAUCCAGCCAUGCCGCGUGAACGAUGAAGGCCUUCGGGUUGUAAAGUUCUUUAGCCGAUGAUUAUAAUGACUGUAGUCGGAAAAUAAGCCCCGGCUAACUUCGUGCCAGCAGCCGCGGUAAUACGAAGGGGGCGAGCGUUAUUCGGAAUCACUGGGCGUAAAGCGUGCGUAGGCGGUUUUGUAAGUUAGGAGUGAAAGCCCAGGGCUCAACCUUGGAAUUGCUCUUAAAACUGCAAGGCUCGAAUAUCGGAGAGGAUAGCGGAAUUUCCAGUGUAGCAGUGAAAUGCGUAGAUAUUGGAAGGAACACCAGUGGCGUAAGCGGCUAUCUGGACGAGUAUUGACGCUGAGGCACGAAAGCGUGGGGAUCAAACAGGAUUAGAUACCCCUGUAGUCC